Molecule: long non-coding RNA, 1924 nt
Filed under: Homo sapiens (human)
Lineage: Eukaryota; Metazoa; Chordata; Mammalia; Primates; Hominidae
Description: long intergenic non-protein coding RNA 2955
Source: RNAcentral
UCGAAUUCUGCACUCUGGACUCCUACGGACCAAGAUGAUCAACUCUGAGGAAGAAAGGCAAUGAGGACGUUGCACAAGACAGUCCCUGAUACCCAGAGUUUACUGCCUAAGAGAGGAUACAUCCUUCAAACCAAUAAUCUGCUAAUAGCAAGAUCCAAUAGCUUCAUGGAUAUUGAAAGAAACUGAGAAUCAAAUUUGCAUACUUCUGAGUCACUUGGAAACAAAAAACAAGUACAGUCUUAGAUUCUGAGGGAACAAAAAUUAAAAAUCACAUUAGGAAGAGAAUUCCUAAUGUAGGAACUCAUCCUGGAAGAUUCUUCAGCAAAAGUACAGACAAUAAUAAUAAUACUCCAUGAAGUUACCAUCGAUAUUGAAUGAAUUAAUGAAUGUAAAAACCUCAAAACCCUGCCUGGCCCAGAGCUUUGGAAUGGGUUUGGAUCUACCACUCAACUGCUUUAUGACUUCAGACCAGUUAUUUAAAUUCCCUGAAGCUCAGUUUCCACAUCUUUGAGUUUUUAUUAAUGACCUGCCGACAUCAUACAGUUCAUGAAAUGCUCUGGAUGUGUACAUGCUGAUGAUACGACCUCAGACCCAGCAAGAGCUCAGUGCAGCCCGGAGAGCUGUGAGCAGUGCCACAGGAGGAGAUGACUGGUGAGUGAAAUAAGCAAGAUAGGAGUUGAAGUGUACAUGAAGCAGAGUCCAAGCCUUCUCCUUCUGGAUGUUCAGCUGGAUCAUCCUGACUGCUCCCACUUUCAUCUUGGCUUUCAAAGGCAAGAGGAAAUUAUAAGGAAUAUUCUGAGUGGCUUUCAUCCAGGAGUUCUGUGGGACCCGCAACACCUGGAUGGUAGAUGCAAACAGAUAAAGAAUAUUGGUCACCAAAAGGAGUUCUUUUCAUCAUAGAUCUCUGAAGGUAGACACCUAUUUGCAGACUUCUCAAAGGGCUAUAUGGAUGUGCUCUACUUGUUGGAGGAUUGUCCAUCCACUCUUCUUCCUGUACUUACCAGGACAGAACAGCCGCAACUUCUCAGACAGUUCAUUCUUCUUUUCCUCACCUACUACCAUCUAAGAAAGGUACUUGAUGACUGUGGCUUUAGACAAGAGUCCUUUUCUUACCACAGGGUGGGCAGCACCAGCUCAUUAGAACCAUUUGUGUGACUGACUGAAGACAGCUCACCUUGGAACACUGCAGAAUAUGGCGUAAGUGACAUUUUACAAGUUCCAGAGCCUGGGACUCAAGAUGUCUUGGAGAUUCUGUCUUUGCAGUCUUAUAAUGAUGCCCUGAGAUCAUCAUUAAAGAAAGCCAGUCUGGCCUACUGAGGAUGAGAAGCUACAUAAAGGAGAAUGAAGAUUCCCCAGCCAACAGGCAAUAUCAGUGGUCAGAUAUGUGAAUAAAGCCAUGUUGAACCUCUCGGCUAGACGACCCUCCAGCAUAUGAAACCAGCAGAUGAAUAUCCCAGCCUGCCUGAAGAACUGUACAGGAAAUAAGAAAUCAUUGUUUUUUAAGCCACUGGGUUGGUGGGUGGUUUGUUACAUUGAAAUUGUUAACUAAAACAGAAAUUGGUGCAUAGAGGUCAGGUGCUGUCAUAAUAAAAAUCUAAAACAUAUACUGUUGGCUUUGGUGAUGGGAGUGAUUGGUAGCUAAAGAGGCAGUGAAACAAUGAUUAGUAGAUACUGGGAAGUUAAUAAGGAAAUUUCUAUUGGAGGGUGGAGAAAGGGCCACCCUUGUUAUAUAGUGGCCAAAGAAUCAGCAAAAUGUUGCCUGCUGCAACCUGGAAAGUAGAAACUUUUCUUAAACUCACGGAUCUGGCUGGGAGAUUUCCAGGAUGCAUGCAACAAAUGUGAAUCAACUUUGUAUAGCUGUGUAUAAUAAAGUGUGCUGUAUUUGUCCAUUCUGAUGCUGCUAAUAAAGACAUACCUGAGACUG